AGAUUCCUGAAGGAAAUGGUUCUGGAGUAGUUUGGGAUAAGGAUGGCCACAUUGUGACAAAUUAUCACAUAAUUGGCAAUGCCCUUUCAAGAAAUCCAAAUGCUGGUGAGAUUGUUGCUCGAGUUAAUAUUCUAGCAACAGAAGGGUUA
This is a non-coding RNA of Cajanus cajan (pigeon pea), 149 nucleotides long. NCBI's taxonomy places the organism in Eukaryota, Viridiplantae, Streptophyta, Magnoliopsida, Fabales, Fabaceae. The record is from RefSeq and is a predicted model, not a curated record.